This 268-nucleotide signal recognition particle RNA is filed under the name Candidatus Bipolaricaulota bacterium. Its description in RNAcentral is "signal recognition particle sRNA large type". It matches the Rfam family "Bacterial large signal recognition particle RNA". Rfam says of the family: The signal recognition particle (SRP) is a universally conserved ribonucleoprotein involved in the co-translational targeting of proteins to membranes. Archaeal SRP consists of a 7S RNA and homologues of the eukaryotic SRP19 and SRP54 proteins. In most bacteria, the SRP consists of a 4.5S RNA and the Ffh protein (a homologue of the eukaryotic SRP54 protein). Lineage: Bacteria; Candidatus Bipolaricaulota. The record is from RNAcentral.
CCGUGCAGGGUGGGGGGUUAGCGGUCCCCUGUAUCCAAAACCCGCUACACGUGGAGCCCAUGGGCCCUCCGAGAGGGCAUGUAGGCGGAACCGGCCUGGGUGCGGAGGCGCUGACGGCCGAGCCCCCUGCGACGCACACCGGCGAACCCCGCCAGGCCCGGAAGGGAGCAACGGUAAGCCGGUCCCUGCGGGUGAUAGGGGAUCACUUGGCCCGAGCCGAAGCCCUGGGACACGCCCACCGAACCGCCCCCGACGGGGGCCCGCACGG